Molecule: transfer RNA, 74 nt
Filed under: Butyrivibrio fibrisolvens
Lineage: Bacteria; Bacillati; Bacillota; Clostridia; Lachnospirales; Lachnospiraceae
Also listed under: 6 other names
Rfam family: tRNA
About the family: Transfer RNA (tRNA) molecules are approximately 80 nucleotides in length. Their secondary structure includes four short double-helical elements and three loops (D, anti-codon, and T loops).
Source: Rfam by way of RNAcentral
GGAGCUUUAGCUCAGUUGGUUAGAGCAACCGGCUCAUAACCGGUCGGUCCUGGGUUCGAGUCCCCGAAGCUCCA